CGAUAUUGUUCUAUUAUAGAGCGUAACGUUUACCAUCCUCUGGUAAUAAUAAUACUAUAAUAUUAAUUUGUCGGUUAAUUGAGUACGCGCUCUUUGCGAGACUAUAUUAUAGUUUAAAUCCGACAAAAGAUUUUAAAUUAAUCUAAGAAUAGUAUACAUUUUGUUUGUUAAUUAUACGAUCCGAGAGAUGAUAAAUCCAUUAUUUUCGCAUGCGCACACAUUGAUUAGGAAAUUAUAUAUAUUUAAUAUUUAAGUACGAAAUCGAUUAAGUUCUAUCCGAGAAAAUA
Non-coding RNA from Cinara cedri, 287 nucleotides. The record is from the annotation of a GenBank genome assembly. NCBI's taxonomy places the organism in Eukaryota, Metazoa, Arthropoda, Insecta, Hemiptera, Aphididae.